UGGGGAAUUGUUCGCAAUGGGCGCAAGCCUGACGACGCAACGCCGCGUGGAGGAUGAAGGUCUUCGGAUUGUAAACUCCUGUUGACCGGGACGAAUGGACGCAGCCCUAACAGUGCGGCGUAAUGACGGUACCGGUUGAGGAAGCCACGGCUAACUCUGUGCCCGCAGCCGCGGUAAUACAGAGGUGGCAAGCGUUGUUCGGAAUUACUGGGCGUAAAGGGCGCGUAGGGGCCCUCUUAGUCGGACGUGAAAUCCCCAGGCUCGACUUGGGAACUGCGUCCGAUACUGGAGGGCUCGAGUGCGGGAGAGGGAUGUGGAAUUCCAGGUGUAGCGGUGAAAUGCGUAGAUAUCUGGAGGAACACCGGUGGCGAAGGCGGCAUCCUGGACCGACACUGACGCUGAGGCGCGAAAGCUAGGGGAGCAAA
This 425-nucleotide ribosomal RNA is filed under the name uncultured bacterium. Its description in RNAcentral is "bacterial SSU rRNA". It matches the Rfam family "Bacterial small subunit ribosomal RNA", at positions 355 to 772 of the family's 1533-position model. The record is from RNAcentral.